UACGUAGGGUGCAAGCGUUAAUCGGAAUUACUGGGCGUAAAGCGUGCGCAGGCGGUUAUGUAAGACAGAUGUGAAAUGCCCGGGCUUAACCUGGGAACUGCAUUUGUGACUGCAUGGCUAGAGUUUGGCAGAGGGGGGUAGGAUUCCACGUGUAGCAGUGAAAUGCGUAGAUAUGUGGAGGAACACCGAUGGCGAAGGCAGCCCCCUGGGUCAAGACUGACGCUCAUGCACGAAAGCGUGGGGAGCAAACAGG
Molecule: ribosomal RNA, 253 nt
Filed under: uncultured bacterium
Lineage: Bacteria
Description: partial 16S ribosomal RNA
Rfam family: Bacterial small subunit ribosomal RNA
Source: RNAcentral